RNAcentral lists this ribosomal RNA (425 nucleotides) under uncultured prokaryote. Its description in RNAcentral is "bacterial SSU rRNA". It matches the Rfam family "Bacterial small subunit ribosomal RNA", at positions 355 to 774 of the family's 1533-position model. The record is from RNAcentral.
UAAGGAAUAUUAGAAAUGGACGAAAGUCUGAUCUAGCAACACCGCGUGGGUGAUGAAGGCCUUCGGGUCGUAAAGCCCUGUCAGGUGGGAAGAAUGUCCCGGGACUGAACAGGUUCCGGGAGUGACGGUACCACCAGAGGAAGCACCAGCUAACUCCGUGCCAGCAGCCGCGGUAAUACGGAGGGUGCAAGCGUUAUUCGGAAUUACUGGGCGUAAAGCGCGUGUAGGCGGUCCUGCAAGUCUGAUGUGAAAGCCCCGGGCUUAACCCGGGAAGUGCAUUGGAAACUGUGGGACUUGAGUACUGGAGAGGAUGGGAAUUCCCGGUGUAGAGGUGAAAUUCGUAGAGAUCGGGAGGAAUAUCAGUGGCGAAGGCGCCCAUCUGGACGGUAACUGACGCUGAGACGCGAAAGCGUGGGGAGCAAACA